Molecule: ribosomal RNA, 554 nt
Filed under: uncultured bacterium
Lineage: Bacteria
Description: partial 16S ribosomal RNA
Rfam family: Bacterial small subunit ribosomal RNA
Source: RNAcentral
UAGGGAAUCUUCCACAAUGGACGAAGUCUGAUGGAGCAACGCCGCGUGAGUGAUGAAGGGUUUCGGCUCGUAAAACUCUGUUGUUGGAGAAGAACAGGUGAUAGAGUAACUGUUAUCAUCUUGACGGUAUCCAACCAGAAAGCCACGGCUAACUACGUGCCAGCAGCCGCGGUAAUACGUAGGUGGCAAGCGUUGUCCGGAUUUAUUGGGCGUAAAGCGAGCGCAGGCGGUUUUUUAGGUCUGAUGUGAAAGCCUUCGGCUUAACCGGAGAAGGGCAUCGGAAACCGGGAGACUUGAGUGCAGAAGAGGACAGUGGAACUCCAUGUGUAGCGGUGAAAUGCGUAGAUAUAUGGAAGAACACCAGUGGCGAAGGCGGCUGUCUGGUCUGUAACUGACGCUGAGGCUCGAAAGCAUGGGUAGCGAACAGGAUUAGAUACCCUGGUAGUCCAUGCCGUAAACGAUGAGUGCUAAGUGUUGGAGGGUUUUCCGCCCUUCAGUGCUGCAGCUAACGCAUUAAGCACUCCGCCUGGGGAGUACGACCGCAAGGUUGAAAC